Molecule: ribosomal RNA, 492 nt
Filed under: uncultured bacterium
Lineage: Bacteria
Description: partial 16S ribosomal RNA
Rfam family: Bacterial small subunit ribosomal RNA
Source: RNAcentral
AGUGAACGCUGGCGGUAGGCCUAACACAUGCAAGUCGAACGGCAGCACAGUAGGAGCUUGCUCUUACGGGUGGCGAGUGGCGGACGGGUGAGGAAUACAUCGGAAUCUACUUUUUCGUGGGGGAUAACGUAGGGAAACUUACGCUAAUACCGCAUACGACCUACGGGUGAAAGCAGGGGAUCUUCGGACCUUGCGCGAUUGAAUGAGCCGAUGUCGGAUUAGCUAGUUGGCGGGGUAAAGGCCCACCAAGGCGACGAUCCGUAGCUGGUCUGAGAGGAUGAUCAGCCACACUGGAACUGAGACACGGUCCAGACUCCUACGGGAGGCAGCAGUGGGGAAUAUUGGACAAUGGGCGCAGGCCUGAUCCAGCCAUACCGCGUGGGUGAAGAAGGCCUUCGGGUUGUAAAGCCCUUUUGUUGGGAAAGAAAAGCAGCAGGUUAAUACCCCGCUGUUCUGACGGUACCCAAAGAAUAAGCACCGGCUAACUUCGUG